GAGAGAGAGAGAUGGGGGGAGGAGACAGUGAGUAGUUUCAGACUAGGGAGAGUGGAGGAAGGAAAAAAGUCGGUGUGAAAAAGAGAAUGGGAAACUGACUGAUAUACUGCGAAUGGCGAGCCUCAGGAGAGCAGAUGACAAAUUAACACAAGGAUAAAAUGUUGCGAAAACCAUCAAUUGGGCACAAGAGCGCGCGUAUGUAACAGAGAGACGCUGAGUGCUGCUUUUCUGCCGUGUUGGGAUUGUAUCGAUCGCUCCCGGGACAGACGGGAAAGCGCUGUUUCGGAACUCCGUUGCACCUCGUCCCGUCGCGCCAGUGGAAGUAAGUUACUGAGCCGCUUUCCCAAACUCAGCGCUGUCGGUCGGAGGGUUUGGAGGGAUCGUGUAAAGAGGCCAGAAAACACACAACGGGAGCAACAAGAGCGCUGAACAUUGGACAAAAGUUUGGCCUUUUGGAGACGGGGCUGCGGGAGAGGCCGAGUCUCGCCACUGCUGAACUGACAACUUCACCCAGCUUGCUGUGUGUUAGGAGCAGAUAACUUUCACCAUGAAAACCCAGGGGGACGCGGGGUUUGCGUUCCCAGACUGGGCCUAUAAGCCCGAGUCCAGUCCUGGCUCCAGACAGAUCCAGCUGUGGCACUUUAUCCUAGAGCUGCUGAGGAAGGAGGAGUAUCAUGAUGUGAUUGCCUGGCAGGGAGAUUAUGGGGAGUUUGUGAUCAAAGACCCUGAUGAGGUGGCCAGGUUGUGGGGCGCCCGCAAGUGCAAACCUCAGAUGAACUACGACAAACUCAGCAGAGCUCUCAGGUAUUAUUACAACAAGAGAAUUCUACAUAAAACUAAAGGAAAACGCUUCACCUACAAGUUUAAUUUCAACAAGCUGGUCCUGGUCAACUACCCUUUCAUUGAUAUGGGGUCUGCAGGAGCAGCUGUUCCUCAAAGUGCUCCACCAGUGCCUACAGGUCCCCAUUUCCGUUUCCCUCCAUCCACUCCUUCAGACAUGCAGGUGUCUGAAGUGCUGCGGUCCCCCAGCAGUGAAGAAUUGCGCAGUCCGGGGAUGUUCAGCGGCCGCCGCAUCGCCCGUGGGUCUGUCUCUGACUGCAGCGAUGGAACUUCUGUCAACUCUGAGAUCGAAGAUGGGAACGGAGGUGCGGCAGAGGAGAGAGUGACUGAAAGAGUGGCUGAGAGAGGUGGAGGAGGUGGCAGUUUCCGAGGUGCUGUUCACCCUCGUCUGUCUCACGAGGCUAUGUUCAGGAUGUACGGUGGACCGGGCGGUCACAGAGGUCAUCGAGUGUCAGAGGUUGGCGGACACAGGGUUCAUCCCGAGCCUCUCUCGCCAUUCACCGUCUCGCCUCUGUCCGGUCCGGGAGGUCCAGGCCUGUUGGUGCCACCUCUCUCGCCGGCACUCUCCAUGACCCCAGGCUCUCACCUGGCCUACACUCCCUCCCCUACCCUGUCGCCCAUGCCUGGCUCCAUCUUCUCCUUCAACCCAGAGGACAUGCAGCGCUACCUGCAGGCUCACACCCAGAGCGUCUACAAUUACCACCUGAGCCCUCGUGCCUUCUUUCAUUACCCAAACAUCAUCGUUCCUCAGCCUCAGCGCCCCGACAAAGGCAUGCCCGGACCCCAGGGCUGUGAUCGUGGUCCUGCCGAGAGGCCUUCGGUGCUCAACAGCCAUCACUCCAUCCUCCCGCCACCUCACGCUCACCCUAUUCACCAUCACCUGGGGGAGGAACAGCACCAUUCUCCAUUCAAGUUCAAACUCCAGCCUCCCCCAUUGGGCCGAAAACAGCGCGACAGUCAGGGUCGACAGGCCUCGCUGUCCUCCACAUCUACAUCUGGUCUGGGUUCCUCGUUGUCGUUUGGGAGUGACCUCAGUUCAGCCAGCGGAUCAGGACUGGUGUCCAACUCCUCCUCAACCGGCUCGCUAAACAGCGCGGGGUUGCCCAAGAUUAAGGUUGAGCCCAUAUCUGACAUUGAAUCAGAAGAGGAAGUCGAAGUAACUGACGUCAGUGAUGAAGAAGCUGAUGAAAGAGAUGAAGAGUUUGAUGUUUUCCCCUCUCACUACCAUAAACACCGUCAUCAUCAUCACCAUAAUCAUUAUCCACACAGCCAAAAGCACCAACAGCCCAACGGCACUGAUGCCGCUCUCCACCCAGAUGAGGACUUGGAGGAAGAGGUGUUCAAAGCCCCCGCACCUCCACCCUUCUUCAUCCCUCCCACCUCUUCCUCAGGUGAUGGUCGCCGUAGUAACUCCAUUGUGAAGAGCGAACCCGUGGAGCCUGCGGACAUGCAGCUGCCACAAACCAACUCCCAGUGCAUCCCACUGAAGCUCCGGUUCAAACGGCGCUGGGAUCAGGACCAGCACAUGGAAGAGGCGGAGGACAAGAAAGUGAGAGGAGAAGAGAGGGGGAGCGAGAGGAAUGGGAUGGUGGAGGAGAGUGAGAGUGGGAGUGGAGAGGCAGAGAGCCCACCUCCUCUCGCUCAUCAUAGAGUUAGCACCGAGCUCCACCGAGCCACGGCACAGCUGUCACUGGAGAACAAGGAGUGCUGAUACGCAUCGACACACCUAGACGACUGCUGAUACACAACUCGACAACUGCUGAUGGACCCACACUCACACGUGACUUUUUAAAUCAAUGACUGCUGCUACUAACAACAGUAAUACUGACACAUACUCUUCACACUUAGACUAACCGACCCUUGCUUAAUUUAAUCCCGUUCCCCAGGCUACCCUCGUUCCCCCGCCGCCCUCAGCUUCAGACGAGGGGUUCUCCAGCACAUGUUCCAGUACAUCUCAUUGUGACCGUUAUGAAGAAUGAGUUCACCCACGUGCCCCAGCGACCCUCAGGAGUCAUGAAUUUGACCUUUGGCACUAGAGAAUAUUUUAUAUUUUUAGAAGAUAAUUUUAUUUUGCAAAGUGCCUGUGAGCUGUCCCUCAAAAUCCCACAAAGAGAACUAGAGAUGGGUGUCAGAAAGACUGGUUUGAAAGGUCUGGUUUGAGGGGCUUGAUCUUCUUCUCCAGCAGCCCAGCAUUAUUUUCCUCAGCAACAGACUGUGAUCAGUCUGCAUGUGAUGUGGUGGGAUACAAAUGCACAGAAAGUCACAAACAGACUCUGUUCUAAAACCAGCCUGGUCAGAAGUCCGAACCCUCAGGGACAAAAUCCCUCAACGCACACACACACACACACACACUCAGACAUGACCCCUUUCUUAUUCCUUGUAUGAAGUGUCUGAUUCGAGUUUGAUUGUGUGUGUUUCGGAAAUCUAGCUGUGUGUAAGUUCUCAGGAAAUCUCCCUCCUUUCCUUUUCUGUCCAAACCAGCUCACCUUAAAACUCUCUUCCGUUCUCUUUUUUUCCUCUGGGACCAUACCUGAAUCACUUUCAUUCCAUUGGGGACGAAAUGACUCGGGCAUAACAUGCGGUUCAGAGACCAUACUCCUAAAUAUCUUAAAUGGCUAGUUCCUUAGUUGGUUAGUCUUUGAAACGACAGUCUGAAGGUAAUACACAUUAGGGAGUUUAUAACAAGCUUCCCUUGUAUAGUCAGUCCUUUAAGUGUGAACCAAACCAGCAUCCCACACACACACGCACACAAGCUUGUACAGUGAUACUAGACCGUCUGGGGCUCAAAGUUUAACUAUUUUGGCGCUUGAUGUACCAUUUAGAACCAAGUGCUGAUUCUUUGUCCUGAUUAACUGUCCUCAGUCCUUGGACCUCUAUGAGAUCUUACUAUGGACUGGGGGAGGUGAAAUAGCAGUUUCAAUCCAUAAUCCCUUACAUUUAAAUACUAAUUUAAGAAUAGAAAGACAGUAGAAGGCAUGUGUGGCCAGAAGUCGCUCUCUUGCGCACACACACACACACACACACACACACAUACACACACUCUGCCUCUUAUGCCUUGUUUUAAUAGCAUGUCUGACAAGGAAAAACAAAAAUCUUAAAAAAAGAACAGUAUACAUUCAAUAUACCUUUAUAUAUUAUGUGUUGCACAUACUAUAAACGGAAAGCAUAGCAUUAACAGAUAUAUCAAUUUCAGGGGGUUUGUAUCAGAUUUCGUUUUGAGGGGAAGGUUGACUCUUCACCUCAGGGAUAAUGUUGCUAUUUGGGUAAGGGAGGAAAAUGUUGCUUUUCUUGUCAGGUUAAUAAAAGGUAGGGUCAAGGAGCGAAAGAAUAAAUUGUACAUAAGACUCUAACAAAGCACAAGAGCUUUGCACCACAGAUGAUGUGGCACAUUCGGUUCUUUAACCAGCACGCACCUCUUCAACAUCCUGUUCUUACUGCCACAACUUAUGUGUGUGUGUGUGUUUGAGAGAGGCUGCAGGUCUCUGUGCAUGUAUGUAACACCACACCCAAGGCUGUAAUUCUUUUGAAAUCUUGCAUCAUGAACCUCAUAAACCUGUGUGCACUAAAGCCCUGUGGAAGUUGAGCACAGGACUUGAGACAUCAAGAGGGUGGCCAGUCGGACACUAGCCAUGAUAUAAUGGUUUUACAGUGACAGGAAGGAGUUAUAUCAUGGCUUAAGUGUCCCUAAUACCUAAGAUAAUACAUCAAACAAAAUUGAACUGGCAACGGGUUACCUCCUCAAAGUUUUGGACUCUUUCUAGCUGCCUUAUUCCCACUUUAAUCAGAUUUGAUUAUGUUUCAGAUCUCCUCUUUCUUUCUUAAUCAAUUAGUCAAGUCUUUAACUAGGGUGCACGCCCGGCAUACCUCAAAAUAAAAAAAAAUAAAAUAAAUUGAGAUGGGGUGAGCAGUAUUGACCAGUGCAGUCUUGUAAACUUUUGUUUGGGCACAAAGUGUGUGCAUUGUUUCUCUUUAGGAGGGAAGUUAUUUGUUUUCUCUUAGGCUGCUCUCAUCGGUUAUCCCAGGAUG
RNA transcript from Sinocyclocheilus rhinocerous, 4866 nucleotides. It is a transcript of the gene named ETS domain-containing transcription factor ERF-like, with no coding region annotated. Lineage: Eukaryota; Metazoa; Chordata; Actinopteri; Cypriniformes; Cyprinidae. The transcript is spliced from 6 exons. The record is from RefSeq and is a predicted model, not a curated record.